Molecule: long non-coding RNA, 695 nt
Filed under: Melopsittacus undulatus (budgerigar)
Lineage: Eukaryota; Metazoa; Chordata; Aves; Psittaciformes; Psittaculidae
Description: lncRNA (ENSMUNG00000020478.1)
Source: RNAcentral
UGUUCUGGGUGUGGCUGCAUGUGAUUUACCCAAUAGCCAGAGUGGGGGGGACUGCCGAAGGGGAAAGACAGAGCGGCUGCUGCAGGGAGUGGACACCGAGGGCUGCAUGAUGAAGACCUCUGGAGCCUGUAUACUGUUGUGUUUCUUAGCACUCUCCUUGUUCUCAGCUGACUGGUUUCCAUGGGUGGUCAAUGGGCAAGAACUGGAAAGUGCAACUGGUGAAGUUAGCACCGACUCUCUUAUCACCACCCCUGCUGCAGCUGUCACACCGCCCGUGCUUCUUAGUCCUGUUCAGUCUGACAGUGAAACUACAACAGCUUCAUCAGGUAUGCCUGCACCCCCUCCCAGACCUACUUUCACCCACCCUAUUACCUCUCCAGGCAGGUGCUGUCUGAACACUUUAUCUCCUGGAGAAUUCCCUUUACCCUGUUCCUUUAGUUAGAAGUACUGGAAAAUGACGGCAAUGGAAGCUAAAGUCUUCCUUCUGGGAGGGGUGGAACUGGCAGAUCACCAAACCGCAUGUGCUGGCUCAGUUUUCUAUCAUUGUCAGUGGGCAAGACCUGGCAUUUCAAAAGGAAAAGCAAGAAAACCCACCAUAGUUUGCUACAGGGCUGAUUGUCUGGGAAAGAAAGGAACUAGAUUUGUGUCCAGAAGUGUGAGAUUGCAGACGUGUAGAAAUACGUGCCUUAAACAUG